Molecule: long non-coding RNA, 342 nt
Filed under: Homo sapiens (human)
Lineage: Eukaryota; Metazoa; Chordata; Mammalia; Primates; Hominidae
Description: non-protein coding SNHG19:2
Source: RNAcentral
CUUUUCGGGGUCGAGUCCGAGGGGGAAGAGGUUUGUUAAUACGUUCGCCAUGUGCUACGAUCUUGGGACGAACUGAGCCACGAGCGUGGCUUUGAGGGCCGUCCGAACGCUGCAGGCCGGCCAGGUCCCUGGGCGUCCAGGCCUGGCCUACGCACCACUUUGUCCCUUAGCGUUUAAAGGUUUCUUCCCGAAUCUCAGGCCCUCAGCUACCUGCAGGUUUCGUCGCGAGCCGGCUGCAAGUUUUGAACCUAAGUAAACCUCAAUCCGGAGGGCCUAGCGGUAAGGUGGGCGCUGUGUCUAUUGAAGUGCUUAGCAAUAAAGAAAGGUAGUGAGUUGAUUCGG